Molecule: ribosomal RNA, 948 nt
Filed under: Triticum aestivum (bread wheat)
Lineage: Eukaryota; Viridiplantae; Streptophyta; Magnoliopsida; Poales; Poaceae
Description: partial small subunit ribosomal RNA
Source: RNAcentral
AUGGACCAGCCGCGGUCGAAGAUGGCGGAGGACAUGGCGGCGCAGCGGGCGGCGUGCGAGCGGCAGAUGGCCGCCGGCCGAGACCGCUUCGCCUCCGCCUCGGCGGCCGUCCGCGCCGCCACCCUCUCCGCCCGCUCCGGCGCCCACCAGUCCCUCUCCCGCCGAGAGGACCUCGACGGACUCAAGAAGCGGCUGCGGGACCUGGGAGCUGACCUAGGGCAAGCUCUGUCCGUUAAACUCGUCAUGGAGUCGAAAUGCGAGAAACUCAGGGAGUCGAUUUCAGCCUCGGCUGCUACAAGUGAGCAGCUAGGUGACCUGGUCACCAAUCAGAGGAACAGGAGCGAGCGGCAUGCCGCGGUCAUAUCGGAUGUCCUCGAGGCUGCUGAGGCUUUCGAAGCAAAGAAUGAUGAAGAUGUUACACAGUUGAAAGACAUGGAAAAGGCUAUCUGCUGGUAUCAAAAGCGCCUUGGCUUCCAGCCCGUUGUUGAAGGGGAAGGUGUGAAAUUCGUAUUUGACAAGGUUGACUUGCAAAGUCCUGAGAAAGAGUUUUCAUUUUCCUUAAAGUUUGACGGUGAUAGAUAUACCUUACUUCGAUGUAGUCCACCCGUGGAAGAUUCUGAGGAACUGGUGAAGGAUUUGAACCUCACUAACGAUCUAAUCAAGUUUGUAAGAAUAAUCCGACAGAGGUUCCAGGCUGCUGCUUUGAAUGGGGAUCUUCCUGUAAGCCCAACAGUUUGUUCAGAUGCUUCCGCUAUACCCAUCUCAUCUCCGGUGAUAAAGUCAGUUGACUCCAGAAGCAAAAAUGAUAGAGAUAGAAGUAAUUCUCAAAGUAAGAACAGGAAGCCGGCUCUUCCUGCUAAGAGAAAAGCUUCUGCCCUAUCGGUAGCAUCUCCUGUUUCUGUGCGUCGCUCCCCGCGUUUUGUGGGGAACGAGGGAGUUGCCAGCUGA